Molecule: long non-coding RNA, 850 nt
Filed under: Oryza brachyantha (malo sina)
Lineage: Eukaryota; Viridiplantae; Streptophyta; Magnoliopsida; Poales; Poaceae
Description: long non-coding RNA (OBRA_LNC001069)
Source: RNAcentral
AUAAUCUUAUUAGCUAGAUCCGCCACUAGGCCAAGCGCCAUACGGGAACGGCUCCCCAUCAACUGCAUUCAAAGCUUGCACACAAGAUACACUAUCAAGUUCAAUAAUCGCUGGGUCAUGAAACCAAUUAGCUGCUAGAGACAGGCCUUCACAACAAGCAGUGAGCUCUGCUUCCUCCAGUGGAUGAGCAAUGCAGGAGUGAUCUCCAGGAGGACAGUUCCACACUUCAAAUCAAUAUCCUGUAUGACAACCGCCCCCACUCUCCUAAACAUGAACCCAACAAAAAGCUACCAUCUACAUAUUUACCAUUAGUGUUACUUCCAGGCAAACUUGGCAAGGUUACUGUCCUGUUAAUGGCUUUGCAAAAUUGCUAAAAAAAUAUUUAACUCCCAACACAUAUUUCAAAUGUAAACACGUGCCAAGUGUUCUACUUACCUGUCAGAAGUCUUGUGCAUGACCACUAUAUCAGAUCCAAGCUCACACGGCCAAACUCUUAAUUAAACUCCCUACUCCAUGGGGGUAGAAACUCAGAAUACUUGCUUUGCAGCUGGUUGGCACUCAGGUCCUUGGAAUGUCAGCAUCCAACGGUGACAUGGUGGAAAAUGUGCUUGCGGAGUUCAUAUGUUUGCUUUGGACGACUGAAACCUUAUACAGAUAGAACAUUGACUGACCACGAGUCAAUUACUGGCUGCAAUUGGCUACUUUAAUGUGGAAAAAGAUGAGAAGAUGCUCCCAAUAUAGAGAUCUUGCCCAGUCAGUCGGUCUACUAAAAGGUGGUGUUGAAAGAAUAAACCCAUGUACAAAAAGAACACAAUUUGGUUCACAUCAAGAAUCAAUAAUAGUGAUGCUG